RNAcentral lists this RNase P RNA (392 nucleotides) under Mycobacterium sp. RNAcentral's name for it is "RNase P RNA component class A". It matches the Rfam family "Bacterial RNase P class A". From Rfam's summary of the family: Ribonuclease P (RNase P) is a ubiquitous endoribonuclease, found in archaea, bacteria and eukarya as well as chloroplasts and mitochondria. Its best characterised activity is the generation of mature 5'-ends of tRNAs by cleaving the 5'-leader elements of precursor-tRNAs. Cellular RNase Ps are ribonucleoproteins. Lineage: Bacteria; Bacillati; Actinomycetota; Actinomycetes; Mycobacteriales; Mycobacteriaceae. The record is from RNAcentral.
CGAGUUGGCUGGGCGGCCGCGGCUCGCAUGGCGGGUCGAGGAAAGUCCGGACUUCACAGAGCAGGGUGAUUGCUAACGGCAAUCCGAGGUGACUCGCGGGAAAGUGCCACAGAAAAUAGACCGCCACCUUCACUGGUGGUAAGGGUGAAACGGUGCGGUAAGAGCGCACCAGCGUUCCGGGUGACUGGAAUGGCUAGGCAAACCCCACCCGAAGCAAGGUCAAGAAGACCACACCGCGGUGUGGUCGCGCAGGCGUUAGAGGGCUGCUCGCCCGAGCCUGUGGGUAGGCCGCUUGAGGCACCCGGUGACGGUGUGUCCAGAUGGAUGGUCGCCACCGCGCCACCAGUAAUGAUGGUGCGGGACAGAAUCCGGCUUACAGGCCAACUCGUCCG